UGGAUAGUUUUCCACAUAGAGUCUAAAGGAA
Molecule: non-coding RNA, 31 nt
Filed under: Rattus norvegicus (Norway rat)
Lineage: Eukaryota; Metazoa; Chordata; Mammalia; Rodentia; Muridae
Source: RNAcentral